RNAcentral lists this transfer RNA (84 nucleotides) under Candidatus Auribacterota bacterium. RNAcentral describes it as "tRNA-Leu". It matches the Rfam family "tRNA". Rfam says of the family: Transfer RNA (tRNA) molecules are approximately 80 nucleotides in length. The record is from RNAcentral. Lineage: Bacteria; Pseudomonadati; Candidatus Auribacterota.
GCCCGAAUGGUGGAAUGGCAGACACAGGAGACUUAAAAUCUCCCGAUCCAAAAGGUCGUGCCGGUUCAAGUCCGGCUUCGGGCA